GAUGAACGCUGGCGGCGUGCCUAAUACAUGCAAGUCGAGCGAGCAGACGAGGAGCUUGCUCCGCUGACGUUAGCGGCGGACGGGUGAGUAACACGUGGAUAACCUACCUAUAAGACAGGGAUAACUUCGGGAAACCGGAGCUAAUACCGGAUAAUAUAUUGAACCGCAUGGGGCAAGAGUGAAAGACGGUUUUGGUGUGAGUUAUAGACGGAUCCGCGCCGCAUUAGCUAGUUGGUAAGGUAACGGCUUACCAAGGCGGGGAUGGGUAGCCGACCUGAGAGCGUCGUCGCGCACCCGGGAACUGAGACAGGUUCCACACUCCUGCGGUGGGCCGCAGUAGGGACUCUUCCGCGAUGGACGAAUGCCUGACGGAGCACAGCCGGGUGAGUGAUGAAGGUCCUCGGAUCGUAAAGCGCUGUUAUUAGGAAAGUACAAAUGUGUAAGUAACUGUGCCCGUCUUGACGGUACCUAAUCAGAAAGCCACGGCUAACUACGUG
This 497-nucleotide ribosomal RNA is filed under the name uncultured bacterium. RNAcentral's name for it is "partial 16S ribosomal RNA". It matches the Rfam family "Bacterial small subunit ribosomal RNA", at positions 28 to 507 of the family's 1533-position model. The record is from RNAcentral.